GAGGUCACAAAGAGUCGGAAACGACUAUGUGACUGAGCAGCAGCAGCAAUUUAUUUGGCAGCUUCUCUCAAAAUGUAAUCUCAGGGACCAGGCAGAUCUCACGGGUCUGGUGCCAAUUUCACAGAAAAGACAAAAUAAGCCAAUGAAGAAACAAGAAAUGGGCCCAAAAGCACCAGUUACAGUGGCUGAAAAGAAUCUUAAAUGUGAUUGCCAUCCCUUCUGAAGCUGCGCUUUUUUGCUAUCUAGUAUCAGACGAAGACAGUGGCAAACUUCCUUUGAAUGAAUCUUGGCAAGAAAACCCAAUGAUAGGAUGACAACUAUAGCAACUUCAAUGUAAGAAGAGGGAUCUCGAAGUUACAUUGAAAUUCUCUAAUGAAAAAACUGUCAACUGCCACAAAAUGUUAGCCUCUCUGUGUACAAAAAGCAAUGCUUUCUAUUUUCCUUUCUUGUUAGUGUGU
Molecule: long non-coding RNA, 458 nt
Organism: Anolis carolinensis (green anole)
Lineage: Eukaryota; Metazoa; Chordata; Lepidosauria; Squamata; Anolidae
Exons: 3
Source: RefSeq, a predicted model, not a curated record